UCACGCCGGCUUUGUUUUGAUCAGCUUAUGCUGUUCACGAAUGACGAAGAUUAGAAUUUAAAAUACGAAACAAAUGUAGUAAGCAUAAUAAAUUUCUCGAUUUUUUUUCUGCAGCUGAAAGACUCCAGGUAAUUCUAGUGAGUGAGCUGAUUCCAGGUGAAAAACAUCCCCAAAUUGUUGACCUAUUCUGCAAGGUCCAUCGACAUCGAACAUCGCAGAGCACAAUCAGGUGUAUAGGAGAAUUAAGGCAUAAUGCAAGUUCACCUAACGUCGGUUCAUGACUGCCUCCUACCUCUCGUCUGCAUCCAUCAUCCGACAGAUUGACUAGUUGAUCCAUGAACCAUCGAGCUCACUGUGUUAUGUGACCAAUGCCGGACAACCUACAUCAGCCAGACAACGAUAAAUCAGAGUCAUCUUACAAGCACCUGCUCGGUGGGACAGCAGUUCUUUUUAAAAACAAUCCCCAGCCAAUUUAUACUGCAAGCCUACACCUCGAGAAUAUCCCAUUGACCGUACUGCUCCACAAGCUACAUCCUUCACCUUCCUUCAUACAGAUUAAUUCUUUGCUUCAACACCCUAAGCUUGAAUUCAACAACACCUAACCCAUGAUUAAUCUCUAGGAUGCACCGGUCGAACGACGUUUCUUCAGGGAAACUUCAUAUAAAAAAACAUGUGAUUACGCUUUAUACAAAAUUUCGGUAGCGACUAUCGUUGAAAAGAUGUCGUGUAGGAAUAGAACACAUCAAUAACGUUUCCUUUAAUUUGAUUAUAGUUCCAUUCUAUUUUCAUGAUACAGAUAAUGAAAAAUUACACCAUUAUGUUUUCGAAAGCAACGAUGUACUAUAAAUGCUUUGUAACUUGUAGACCAGCGAACGGCAAAGUGCGGCUCGCAUGCAGCUCUUUAUUUUUGAGAUUGCGGCUCUUAACCGUUCAUAUAUUUAGUAGAACUUUCAACAUUUUUCUUUUGAUCUUUCUGUUUGGUAGGCCGCUCUGCUAUAUGAACAAUGAUCAAUCUGUUGGAUGAAAAAUUGCCAAAUCAUCGUGGGGCACAUUAUAGGCACUCGGGACUGCAUGCGGCCUGUAGUUUGGAAAGUACUGUCACACAGCAAUGGCUAGUUAGGGUGUUUUUGUUGGUUCAUCGUAUUAACAUUCUAUAUCAAGGUUGGUGCUAUUGACAGAAGAUAAAAACUAAAAAUGAUGUGGUCCGAGUGAUUACAUUGUACAACGAAUCUCUACUGUCAAAUUACUCUAUAUUUUGCACAAAUUGUACUUUUUUAUUUUCUAUUUAACAAUCCAUUUAAUAAUCUCUUCUUAAUACUACAAUACAAUGAAAACUUAAAUUUAGAGGAGUAUGAAAUUUUUAUCACAUUGUCAUUUUUAUUCCUAUAAUAAAGUCCUAUGUAUUAAAUA
Long non-coding RNA from Anopheles gambiae (African malaria mosquito), 1410 nucleotides. RefSeq lists it as uncharacterized. NCBI's taxonomy places the organism in Eukaryota, Metazoa, Arthropoda, Insecta, Diptera, Culicidae. The record is from RefSeq and is a predicted model, not a curated record. The transcript has 2 exons.